UACGUAGGGUCCGAGCGUUGUCCGGAAUUACUGGGCGUAAAGAGCUCGUAGGUGGUUUGUCGCGUUGUCCGUGAAAACUCACAGCUCAACUGUGGGCGUGCGGGCGAUACGGGCAGACUGGAGUACUGCAGGGGAGACUGGAAUUCCUGGUGUAGCGGUGGAAUGCGCAGAUAUCAGGAGGAACACCAGUGGCGAAGGCGCCACUCUGGGACGUUACUGACGCUGAGACGCGAAAGCGUGGGGAGCAAACAGG
RNAcentral lists this ribosomal RNA (253 nucleotides) under uncultured bacterium. Its description in RNAcentral is "partial 16S ribosomal RNA". It matches the Rfam family "Bacterial small subunit ribosomal RNA", at positions 524 to 776 of the family's 1533-position model. The record is from RNAcentral.